UGUUUCUUCUGUGAACUCCAAUGCAGCAGGAGCAGCUGCAGCAAGUUGAUGAUCUGAGUGUUCGUUUCUGGUGGCUGCUUUAGCUUUUUAACAAUGGUGGGGUGGUGACAGAGAGUAAAGUAAAGGGAAAUAAGGACGUGAGGGCCAGUUGUGAACAGGGGUUGGUUUGGUUUGGUUGGUACAAUCAACUAAUCAAGAUAUGAAAAUUGAAAGCGUGUCUAUAUUAUUGGAUUUGUUUCUUUUUGUGGGAAAUUGAAUUGAUGCAGGCGAUGUUUAAUGCAGGAACCACGACCGAUAGAUAUGGUGGGAAAGGAAAGUUCGCAAUCGAUGCCAGUUAUUACGGAGGCCAAGUUUGAAAUUCCUUCGUUGCCUUUUUUUUCAUUUCGAGCCUUCUUCUGGAAUUUGGGUGAGUCUGUGGUCUAUGUGUUGUUGAGAGGUCAGCACUCUCAUGACUCUCCGACGGUUCUAUAACGAUUUUGUUUUAAUAAUUUGAGUUGUUUCGAAAGAGGGUUUUGCAAGACUUUUGAAAAAGUUGGAAAUUUAUACAAG
This 549-nucleotide long non-coding RNA is filed under the name Linum usitatissimum (flax). Its description in RNAcentral is "long non-coding RNA (LUSI_LNC005064)". The record is from RNAcentral. Lineage: Eukaryota; Viridiplantae; Streptophyta; Magnoliopsida; Malpighiales; Linaceae.